Molecule: small nucleolar RNA, 106 nt
Organism: Cicer arietinum (chickpea)
Lineage: Eukaryota; Viridiplantae; Streptophyta; Magnoliopsida; Fabales; Fabaceae
Product: small nucleolar RNA Z157/R69/R10
Source: RefSeq, a predicted model, not a curated record
UAUUGUGCUGUGACGAUACAAUUUGCAAUUUGUGGACUAGAGUUUCUGAUUUGGGAAUCUUCACCCAAAAUUUGAUUAUCAAACCCAUGGCUGUCCGAGCACACUU